CCGAAAAUUACACACUACGAUGGUUACGACAGCUGAGGCAGGAGCACCGCGUGUUCAACCCACGACGUACCGCGCCAGUUUGUGCUGAAACCAAAAAGUAUUUCUGUUGAUGGCGACUGAAGAUCUCUGCAAGCAACUCGAGGCAGGGAGGAGAAGCACACAGAGGGCAGCUCAUGUAAAAUAGAAAGGUGUCGACCUCAACACAUGGCGCCCGCAGGGGAGCUUAAACACUCGGGCUAAAUGAGGGCCGCAUCAGAGAUUCACUAAAGGGGAACACUCCAAGCCCCUUUCCAUCUCCGUAUCCCCCUGAGCCCCACUGCAACAGCAUGUCUUCCUCAGUUAAUGCUCCGUACGGUUGGACACACUCACUUAAUGCUUGCACACAUGCACCGCUCUUUGAAGUCGCGCAUUCACAGGAACUUGAGUUACUUUCUGUUUUGUUUCGCUGCCGUGCUCAAAUCGUUUGUGCUUUGUCACAGCAGGUUACAUGCUCGUUUUGAAAGGUGUGAAUUAAUAUGAAACAAAGCAGGGCUCCUUUUGUAACACUAAACUGAAUUCACACCUCCGCUAUGGAGUGGAUGUAAAACAGAUGAGAACAAAGGUGGUGGAAUAAAGCAACAUCAUGUUGUGUACAGCGAG
Molecule: long non-coding RNA, 639 nt
Organism: Poecilia latipinna (sailfin molly)
Lineage: Eukaryota; Metazoa; Chordata; Actinopteri; Cyprinodontiformes; Poeciliidae
Exons: 2
Source: RefSeq, a predicted model, not a curated record